UUCACUAAGUAUGGUUACACCUGAACAUAAACAUCCUUUGUAUCUAUUAUUAUGCAUCUAAAAAAACAUAACUGUUCAUCCUCAUAAAUUAGAUAUUCAAUUGAUCCUCUCCAAAGUUGUUCUCUUUGUCCUCAUGAAUAGCAUCAUUUUCCUCAAUAGUAUUAAUCUCUAUUGACAAUAGUAUAAAUGAUGUUACCACGAAGCCAGGAACUUUAACACGUAACUGAUGCAUAGAGUGAUGCCAAGACUACAAAAUAGAAUUGAAUUGUUGCUUAACAACUUUCAGCUUGUUCUGUAUCCUUUGCUCCAUUUUCA
This 315-nucleotide long non-coding RNA is filed under the name Olea europaea subsp. europaea. Lineage: Eukaryota; Viridiplantae; Streptophyta; Magnoliopsida; Lamiales; Oleaceae. The record is from RNAcentral.